RNAcentral lists this ribosomal RNA (708 nucleotides) under uncultured bacterium. Its description in RNAcentral is "bacterial SSU rRNA". It matches the Rfam family "Bacterial small subunit ribosomal RNA", at positions 1 to 627 of the family's 1533-position model. The record is from RNAcentral.
GAACCUUAGUCGUACUCCGAAUGCUCUCGAUUAGUUUUAUUGAUCCUGGCUCAGAUUGAACGCUAGCGGGAUGCCUUACACAUGCAAGUCGAACGGCAGCACGGACUUCGGUCUGGUGGCGAGUGGCGAACGGGUGAGUAAUGUAUCGGAACGUGCCCAGUAGCGGGGGAUAACUACGCGAAAGCGUAGCUAGUACCGCAUACGCCCUACGGGGGAAAGCAGGGGAUCGCAAGACCUUGCACUAUUGGAGCGGCCGAUAUCGGAUUAGCUAGUUGGUGGGGUAACGGCUCACCAAGGCGACGAUCCGUAGCUGGUUUGAGAGGACGACCAGCCACACUGGUGACUGAGACACUGGCCCAGACUCCUACGGGAGGCAGCAAGUGGGGGAAUUUUGGGACAAAUUGGGGGGAAACCCUUGAUUCCAAGGCCAUCCCGCGUUGUUGCGAUUGAAUGGCCUUCGGGGUUGUAAAAGCAACUUUUGGGCAAGGGAACAGAAAACGUCCAUGGGGUUAAAAUAACCCCCGCUGAAAACUUGGACGGGUAACCUUGGCAGAAAUUAAGGCGACCCGGGCUUAAAACUUAACGGUUGCCCAGCAGNNCCCGGCGGGUUAAAUAACCGUAAAGGGUUGCAAAGCGGUUUAAUUCGGGAAAUUUACCUGGGGGCCGUUAAAAGCGUUNCUGCCAAGUGCCGGUUCCGGGAACAAGAAA